Molecule: ribosomal RNA, 292 nt
Filed under: uncultured bacterium
Lineage: Bacteria
Description: partial 16S ribosomal RNA
Rfam family: Bacterial small subunit ribosomal RNA
Source: RNAcentral
GUGUCAGCAGCCGCGGUAAGACGUAGGGCGCGAGCGUUGUCCGGAUUUAUUGGGCGUAAAGAGCUCGUAGGCGGCUUGUCGCGUCGUCCGUGAAAACCUGCAGCUCAACUGCAGGCUUGCGGGCGAUACGGGCAGGCUAGAGUUCGGUAGGGGAGACUGGAAUUCCUGGUGUAGCGGUGAAAUGCGCAGAUAUCAGGAGGAACACCGGUGGCGAAGGCGGGUCUCUGGGCCGAUACUGACGCUGAGGAGCGAAAGCGUGGGGAGCGAACAGGAUUAGAAACCCCCGUAGUCC